UCAGUUGUCUUUCGGUGUUAU
This 21-nucleotide non-coding RNA is filed under the name Caenorhabditis elegans. Lineage: Eukaryota; Metazoa; Nematoda; Chromadorea; Rhabditida; Rhabditidae. The record is from RNAcentral.